AGAGUUUGAUCCUGGCUCAGGAUGAACGCUGGCGGCGUGCUUAACACAUGCAAGUCGAACGAAGCACUCAGGAGCGACUUCGGUCAAUCCUGUUUGACUUAGUGGCGGACGGGUGAGUAACGCGUGAGGAACCUGCCUUGCAGUGGGGAAUAACAGUUGGAAACGACUGCUAAUACCGCAUAAUGCAGAGAGAUCGCAUGGUCUUUCUGCCAAAGAUUUAUCGCUGUGAGAUGGCCUCGCGUCUGAUUAGCUAGUUGGUGAGGUAACGGCCCACCAAGGCGACGAUCAGUAGCCGGACUGAGAGGUUGAUCGGCCACAUUGGGACUGAGACACGGCCCAG
Molecule: ribosomal RNA, 340 nt
Filed under: uncultured bacterium
Lineage: Bacteria
Description: bacterial SSU rRNA
Rfam family: Bacterial small subunit ribosomal RNA
Source: RNAcentral